This 458-nucleotide ribosomal RNA is filed under the name uncultured Pelotomaculum sp. RNAcentral describes it as "bacterial SSU rRNA". It matches the Rfam family "Bacterial small subunit ribosomal RNA", at positions 925 to 1382 of the family's 1533-position model. The record is from RNAcentral. Lineage: Bacteria; Bacillati; Bacillota; Clostridia; Eubacteriales; Desulfotomaculaceae.
ACAAGCGGUGGAGCAUGUGGUUAAUUCGACGCAACGCGAAGAACCUUACCAGGGCUUGACAUCCCCUGACCGCGUAUGAAAGUACGUUUUCACCCUCGGGUGACAGGGAGACAGGUGGUGCAUGGUUGUCGUCAGCUCGUGUCGUGAGAUGUUGGGUUAAGUCCCGCAACGAGCGCAACCCCUACGUUUAGUUGCUAACAGGUGAAGCUGAGCACUCUAGACGAACUGCCGUUGACAAAACGGAGGAAGGUGGGAUGACGUCAAAUCAUCAUGCCCCUUAUGUUCUGGGCUACACACGUGCUACAAUGGCCGGUACAGACGGAGGCGAAGCCGCGAGGCGGAGCAAAUCCGAAAAAGCCGGUCUCAGUUCGGAUUGCAGGCUGCAAUUCGCCUGCAUGAAGUCGGAAUCGCUAGUAAUCGCAGGUCAGCAUACUGCGGUGAAUACGUUCCCGGGCCUU